Molecule: ribosomal RNA, 468 nt
Filed under: uncultured bacterium
Lineage: Bacteria
Description: partial 16S ribosomal RNA
Rfam family: Bacterial small subunit ribosomal RNA
Source: RNAcentral
GACGAACGCUGGCGGCGUGCUUAACACAUGCAAGUCGAACGGAAAGGCCCUGCUUUUGUGGGGUGCUCGAGUGGCGAACGGGUGAGUAACACGUGAGUAACCUGCCCUUGACUUUGGGAUAACUUCAGGAAACUGGGGCUAAUACCGGAUAGGAGCUCCUGCUGCAUGGUGGGGGUUGGAAAGUUUCGGCGGUUGGGGAUGGACUCGCGGCUUAUCAGCUUGUUGGUGGGGUAGUGGCUUACCAAGGCUUUGACGGGUAGCCGGCCUGAGAGGGUGACCGGCCACAUUGGGACUGAGAUACGGCCCAGACUCCUACGGGAGGCAGCAGUGGGGAAUAUUGCACAAUGGGCGGAAGCCUGAUGCAGCAACACCGCGUGCGGGAUGACGGCCUUCGGGUUGUAAACCGCUUUCGCCUGUGACGAAGCGUGAGUGACGGUAAUGGGUAAAGAGGCACCGGCUAACUACGUG